Molecule: ribosomal RNA, 656 nt
Filed under: uncultured Bacteroidales bacterium
Lineage: Bacteria; Pseudomonadati; Bacteroidota; Bacteroidia; Bacteroidales
Description: bacterial SSU rRNA
Rfam family: Bacterial small subunit ribosomal RNA
Source: RNAcentral
AAGAUGGCGACCGGCGCACGGGUGAGUAACACGUAUCCAACCUGCCGAUAACUCCGGGAUAGCCUUUCGAAAGAAAGAUUAAUACCGGAUGGCAUACGAAUAUCGCAUGAUAUUUUUAUUAAAGAAUUUCGGUUAUCGAUGGGGAUGCGUUCCAUUAGUUUGUUGGCGGGGUAACGGCCCACCAAGACUACGAUGGAUAGGGGUUCUGAGAGGAAGGUCCCCCACAUUGGAACUGAGACACGGUCCAAACUCCUACGGGAGGCAGCAGUGAGGAAUAUUGGUCAAUGGGCGAGAGCCUGAACCAGCCAAGUAGCGUGAAGGAUGAAGGCUCUAUGGGUCGUAAACUUCUUUUAUAUGGGAAUAAAGUUUUCCACGUGUGGAAUUUUGUAUGUACCAUAUGAAUAAGGAUCGGCUAACUCCGUGCCAGCAGCCGCGGUAAUACGGAGGAUCCGAGCGUUAUCCGGAUUUAUUGGGUUUAAAGGGAGCGUAGGUGGAUUGUUAAGUCAGUUGUGAAAGUUUGCGGCUCAACCGUAAAAUUGCAGUUGAAACUGGCAGUCUUGAGUACAGUAGAGGUGGGCGGAAUUCGUGGUGUAGCGGUGAAAUGCUUAGAUAUCACGAAGAACUCCGAUUGCGAAGGCAGCUCACUAGACUGUUAC